This 253-nucleotide ribosomal RNA is filed under the name uncultured bacterium. Its description in RNAcentral is "partial 16S ribosomal RNA". It matches the Rfam family "Bacterial small subunit ribosomal RNA", at positions 524 to 776 of the family's 1533-position model. The record is from RNAcentral.
UACGUAGGGGGCAAGCGUUAUCCGGAUUCACUGGGCGUAAAGGGAGCGCAGGCGGCAUGGCAAGUCUGAUGUGAAAACCCGGGGCCCAACCUCGGGAGUGCAUUGGAAACUGCCAGGCUGGAGUGUCGGAGGGGUAAGCGGAAUUCCUAGUGUAGCGGUGAAAUGCGUAGAUAUUAGGAGGAACACCAGUGGCGAAGGCGGCUUACUGGACGACUACUGACGCUGAGGCUCGAAAGCGUGGGGAGCAAACAGG